CUUCUUGAGUAUGCUUAAACAAAGUUUUUUAUUUUAAAUAUUUUAUAGAUAGCAUAUACUAUCUUAUCAUUGAUCCAUAAUCAAAUUCCAACAAGACAUAGAUUAAGUUGAAAAUAAUUCAUGAUUGAUCUAUGUACUAUAUUGUUCUGCAAGCAAUGCAAUAUGAUGAUUACCUUGUGUACCAUAUUGUUCUGCAAAAAUGUCUAUAAGUAGAAAAGAAUCUUAACAAGGCAUGAUAUUAGGUGAUGACAAGGAAUGGAUGUUGACCUAUCAACAAAGGAAGAAAAUACCAAACAAAUCCAUCUCAUAGCUAGGAUUAAA
This 321-nucleotide long non-coding RNA is filed under the name Trifolium pratense (red clover). Its description in RNAcentral is "long non-coding RNA (TPRA_LNC002246)". The record is from RNAcentral. Lineage: Eukaryota; Viridiplantae; Streptophyta; Magnoliopsida; Fabales; Fabaceae.